UUGUAUGAGGUGUCGGACUCAUCAUACGGUGGUCCACGAUCCUUGGCAGGGCCACCAUCAUCGUCAGAGGAGUAGUUGGGAGGAAGAGAAGAAACAAUCGGAGAAGAAGCCAUGGUAAUUUUAUGGAGGAAGAGAGUGGAGGCAAGGCAAUGGAGGGGUUGGGUAGCACAAGAGGAGGGUACCAGUAUAUUAAUGGCUCUUAGUUGCCAAGGGACAGAAAAUGGAUGAAAAAUGGCAAGAGAUGCGUCAAUCUCUAAUAAUGUAACGGUCUUUUGCAAGUGAAUGACAUUGAAAUCUCAGUGAAUUCUGGUAGAGAAAUAAAGAACUAAACUUAAUUUGCAAGUACUAGAACAUAGAAAGAUAAACGAUCAACAGCAUUGCAAACAGAAAAAUCAACAUAAUCUCCCUAGGGUUGCCCAGGGACU
Molecule: long non-coding RNA, 425 nt
Filed under: Setaria viridis
Lineage: Eukaryota; Viridiplantae; Streptophyta; Magnoliopsida; Poales; Poaceae
Description: long non-coding RNA (SVIR_LNC006760)
Source: RNAcentral